UACGUAGGGUGCGAGCGUUGUCCGGAAUUACUGGGCGUAAAGAGCUCGUAGGUGGUUUGUCACGUCGUCUGUGAAAUUCCGGGGCUUAACCUCGGGCGUGCAGGCGAUACGGGCAAUACUUGAGUGCUGUAGGGGAGACUGGAAUUCCUGGUGUAGCGGUGAAAUGCGCAGAUAUCAGGAGGAACACCAAUGGCGAAGGCAGGUCUCUGGGCAGUUACUGACGCUGAGAAGCGAAAGCAUGGGUAGCGAACAGGAUUAGAUA
Molecule: ribosomal RNA, 262 nt
Filed under: uncultured prokaryote
Description: partial 16S ribosomal RNA
Rfam family: Bacterial small subunit ribosomal RNA
Source: RNAcentral